AGCACAUGAUGAGUGCAUACUUCUGGUCCGUGUUGUUGAAAUAUCAUGAUAACAUUAGAAGUGCUGAGCU
Actinia tenebrosa (Australian red waratah sea anemone) is the source of this 70-nucleotide small nucleolar RNA. RefSeq annotates it as small nucleolar RNA SNORD18. NCBI's taxonomy places the organism in Eukaryota, Metazoa, Cnidaria, Anthozoa, Actiniaria, Actiniidae. The record is from RefSeq and is a predicted model, not a curated record.